UUCUUGCUUCAACUCCCAGGAGCCCACGGGUGCCUUUCACCUGCUCCCACUCCCACCCAGGCUGCCUGGCUUGUCCUGGUGUGGAGGGGAAGGCUCUGGCCCAGAGCUGUGGAAUCGGUUCCCGAGGGCUGGAAGGAGCAGGCGGGAUGCAGGGGCUGCUGCCGGCUUUUCCUCUUGAAAAAUAAGCCAGUGCGUCAUCUCCAUUCUUUUAGCAGAAAGUGAGCCGGCUGUGGCCUCUGCCUGCCUUCACACGUGAGCUGGAGCAUUGGCUCUUCCCGGGUCUCCAGCCUGCUGGCAUCGGGCCUGAUUUGCCACCAUCAGCUCUCCCAGGCUGCAGCUUCCUGACUUACUGUGCGUCGGGGGACUCAGCCUCCACCACGUAUGAGCUGAUUCGUUGCACUAACUCUCUCUGUCUCCAAGGCCUGUUGAUUCCCAGUCUCUGGAGAGCCCUGAGUGGGUGACAGACAGCGGGGUCCUCACCGGAGCCAAGGAUCGUCCCAGCCGAGGGCGGAGUCCGGACUGAUGGGGAGGCUCAGGCCCUGACAAGGGCGGUGGCGGAAGCCGGGAGAGGCCGAAUCCGAUUAAAGUGCCACCAAGAGGCAGCGCUGACCUUUUGCUUUUAACCACUGACCCAGCGCCCGGGAGCUGGCGUGUCAGCUGGGACGGCGGCGCUGAUUUCACAGCGAUUACCCUUAGCCAGUGGAUAUUGGCUGUCCGCCAUGAGGAGGCGCCAGUGGACACUGGUCCCAGACUCAUGGGGUGAGGGAGGAAGGGGCCUAGUGGUGGCUGAGCCAUGACAUAUCUCCUGGGGAGGGCACCCACCGAAUGCCACCGCCACAGUGACUGCUGCUGCUACUGCAAUGACCACCACUGCUGCAUUACCACGGCUGCCACCACUGUUACUACCACCAGCAACACGACUGCCAUGAGUACUGCAGGAGCCCACUGAGCUGUUACAACCACCACCACCGCUGUUACUACCCCCACCUCCAUGACUGCCGUGAGUACUGCAGGAGCCCACUGAGCUGUUACAACCACCACCACUGCUGUUACUACCCCCACCUCCAUGACUGCCGUGAGUACUGCAGGAGCACCACUGAGCUGUUACCACCCCCACCACUGUUACUACCACCAGCAGCACGACUGCUGUGAGUACUGCAGGAGCACCACCGAGCUGUUACCACGGCCGCCACCACUGUUACUACCACCAGCAACAUGCCUGCCGUGAGUACUGCAGGAGCCCACUGAGCUGUUACCACGGCCACCACUGUUACCACCACCAGCAACACGACUGCCGUGAGUACUGCAGGAGCCCACUGAGCUGUUACCACGGCCACCACUGUUACUACCACCACCUCCAUGACAGCCGUGAGUACUGCAGGAGCCCACUGAGCUGUUACCAUGGCCGCCACCACUGUUACUACCACCAGCAGCACGACUGCCGUGAGUACUGCAGGAGCACCAUGAGCUAUUACCAAGCUUCUACAACUCCAAACACCCCACAACACUCAAAGCCUCAUUUUCCACCCUGAACAGUGUGGGUCUGUGAGACGAGCUCAGCCGCUGUGUCCGUUGCCGCCUGCAUGGGCUGGGUUGGCUGCUGCUGACACACGUGUGCUGUGUGUGAGUGUGCACGUGUGCACCACGGCUGUGCAGACAGGGCAUGGAACCUCGGGGCAAGAUCUGUUUCCUGGGAGAGAAGCACCCAGGCUCUGUGGGAUGCUGAGGGGAGGGAAGCAGGCAGUGUGUGUUCACAGGAGCGAAUUCUUCCCUACCUCCCUUUGUUCCCGAGUCCACUCAGAUUGAGUGCACACCCUGUGGGCCUGGGUGGCCCCAGUCACACCCCCAGCCCAGCAUCAGCCUGGGGGAGAGUCGUGGUUAACAGCACAAACUGUGAUCCCAGAUGGGCUCAAGUCCCAGCUCUGCCUCCCAUGAGCCGUGUGACCUUGGGAAGCCGACUUAAUCUUUCUGAGCUUCUGUUUUCUCAUCUGUAAAAUGGGGCAAAUGGCAGAUUCUCCCUCAUGAGGUCAGUGUGAGGGUCAUAAGCGCCAAGUGUAGCUAGCACCCAGGAAAUGUUUAUUACAUUAUCUCAGAAAAAUGCACCAGAAUUUAAAUAAUGCUGAUAAUAAAUAUGCAGUCAGUCA
This is a non-coding RNA of Callithrix jacchus (white-tufted-ear marmoset), 2144 nucleotides long. Lineage: Eukaryota; Metazoa; Chordata; Mammalia; Primates; Cebidae. The record is from RefSeq and is a predicted model, not a curated record.